CUUAUACAUCUUUUGUUGUAUGUGAAUGAAGAUCGGGUUGUUCAAUUAUACUAUAUCCUACGCCGUGCAAAUAUAGAGGAGAUUUUGUCCGUUUGUUUUCGAAAAUUUUCUAUAUUUGUGGUGAGUCUGUUGCACCCUUGGGGUUCAAGACUUUUUUUUAAAAAAAAUGGACAGUUUUUUGCUUAUUCAGAUUUAUUAAGACAGCCCGAUUUAAUUGACUUUCAAAAAGGGACCCCGAGGCGUGACAGAUUAAUG
RNAcentral lists this long non-coding RNA (255 nucleotides) under Ananas comosus (pineapple). RNAcentral describes it as "long non-coding RNA (ACOM_LNC003433)". The record is from RNAcentral. Lineage: Eukaryota; Viridiplantae; Streptophyta; Magnoliopsida; Poales; Bromeliaceae.